AGAAGUACUGGGCCCCCUUUGUGCUGAAUCUCUCUCAGUUUCAGCUCCUGUUCUCAAACUGCCUGUUGUGAUUUCCAGGGAAGUCAGAUACUUCAUACUGAUGUGGUUUACUUGCAUUGUGGACAAGGCUUCCGAGAGGCGGAGAAAAUAAAGAUGCUUUUGCUGAAUUUCAACUGCAGCACAGUAGUGAUUGGAAAUGGAACUGCCUGCCGGGAAACAGAAGCUUACUUUGCUGACCUGAUAAUGAAGAAUUAUUUUGCACCACUGGAUGUUGUUUACUGUAUCGUCAGUGAAGCAGGAGCAUCAAUCUACAGUGUCAGCCCUGAAGCUAACAAAGAGAUGCCAGGGCUGGACCCUAAUUUGAGAAGUGCAGCAUGACGUAUCCCAGACUUUACUCAAGGCAACACUGGACAGUGUUGUAGAAGAAUGUGUCAGCUUUGUGGGAGUGGAUAUUAACAUCUGUUCAGAAGUUUUGUUAAGGCAUAUUGCAGGACUCAAUGCCAACAGGGCCAAAAAUAUUAUUGAAUGGCGAGAGAAAAAUGGACCCUUUAUCAACCGAGAACAGCU
This 567-nucleotide small RNA is filed under the name Pongo abelii (Sumatran orangutan). Its description in RNAcentral is "processed transcript". The record is from RNAcentral. Lineage: Eukaryota; Metazoa; Chordata; Mammalia; Primates; Hominidae.